UACGAAGGGGGCUAGCGUUGUUCGGGAUUACUGGGCGUAAAGCGCACGUAGGCGGACUGUCAAGUCAGGGGUGAAAUCCCGCGGCUCAACCUCGGAACUGCCUCUGAUACUGGCAGUCUAGAGUCCGGAAGAGGUGAGUGGAAUUCCUAGUGUAGAGGUGAAAUUCGCAGAUAUUAGCAAGAACACCGGUGGCGAAGGCGGCUCACUGGUCCGGAACUGACGCUGAGGUGCGAAAGCGUGGGGAGCAUACAGG
This 253-nucleotide ribosomal RNA is filed under the name uncultured bacterium. RNAcentral's name for it is "partial 16S ribosomal RNA". It matches the Rfam family "Bacterial small subunit ribosomal RNA", at positions 524 to 776 of the family's 1533-position model. The record is from RNAcentral.